UCUUGGUCAUUUAGAGGAAGUAAAAUCGUAACAAGGUUUCCGUAGGUGAACCUGCGGAAGGAUCAUUAGUGAAUUUCAAAGUCGGCUCGUCGGAUUGUGCUGGUGGAGACACAUGUGCACGUCGCGAGUCGCAAACCCACACACCUGUGCAUCUAUGACUCUGAGUGCCGCUUGCAUGGCCCCUUGAUUUGGGCCUGGCGCUCGAGUACUUUCACACACUCCGAAUGUAAUGGAAUGUCUUGUUGUGCAUAACGUACAAACAGAAACAACUUCAACAACGGAUCUCUUGGCUCUCGCAUCGAUGAAGAACGCAGCGAAAGCGAUAAGUAAUGUGAAUUGCAGAAUUCAGUGAAUCAUCGAAUCUUUGACGCACCUUGCACCCUUUGGUAUUCCGAAGGGUACGCCCGUUUGAGUGUCUUGUAAUCUCACUACGAUCGACUUUUGUCUUUUCGUAUGUGGACUUGGUGUUGCCGUGAAUAAACAAACGGCUCGUCUGAAAUGCCUGAGUGUACCCGCUUUGCGGCGUAUUCGGUGUGAUAAAUCUUCACCGGAGUUGAUCCCUUAUGGGGUCGCGUCUGUAAUGGUGUGGCUCUAUGCUUCGAACCGUCUCCUUCGAGACAAAUCUCUGACAAUUUGACCUCAAAUCGGGUGGGACUACCCGUGAACUUAAGCAUAUCAAUAAGCGGAGGA
Molecule: ribosomal RNA, 690 nt
Filed under: uncultured fungus
Lineage: Eukaryota; Fungi
Description: eukaryotic LSU rRNA
Rfam family: 5.8S ribosomal RNA (bases 267-418)
Source: RNAcentral